Molecule: ribosomal RNA, 468 nt
Filed under: uncultured bacterium
Lineage: Bacteria
Description: partial 16S ribosomal RNA
Rfam family: Bacterial small subunit ribosomal RNA
Source: RNAcentral
GACGAACGCUGGCGGCGUGCUUAACACAUGCAAGUCGAACGGAAAGGCCCUGCUUUUGUGGGGUGCUCGAGUGGCGAACGGGUGAGUAACACGUGAGUAACCUGCCCUUGACUUUGGGAUAACUUCAGGAAACUGGGGCUAAUACCGGAUAGGAGCUCCUGCUGCAUGGUGGGGGUUGGAAAGUUUCGGCGGUUGGGGAUGGACUCGCGGCUUAUCAGCUUGUUGGUGGGGUAGUGGCUUACCAAGGCUUUGACGGGUAGCCGGCCUGGUAGGGUGACCGGCCACAUUGGGACUGAGAUACGGCCCAGACUCCUACGGGAGGCAGCAGUGGGGAAUAUUGCACUAUGGGCGGAAGCCUGAUGCAGCAACGCCGCGUGCGGGAUGACGGCCUUCGGGUUGUAAACCGCUUUCGCCUGUGACGAAGCGUGAGUGACGGUAAUGGGUAAAGAAGCACCGGCUAACUACGUG